GCAAAUGCUUGAUAUUAAGUACAUACUUCUUGGAUGAAUGAAUAAAUAUCCUAAUCUGCUUAUUAAUUUUCUUGCAUGAUGAGAAUGAGACCUGCUUGGAAUUUGUCAGGGUUAAGGAUGGAAGUGGAACAGAUAGAUGAGGUCUCAGGAAAGGUUGCUGCAAAAACAGAAAUCACAAUUGCCUUCUGCAGGACUGGGCAGGUGAGGGAGGAGUGAGGGGACGGCCCUGGAAGGGGGCUGGCCUGGCGGGAAGGCCCGGGAAGGAGGGACAGGGGUGGUGGGUGGGGCUUUCUCCUGUACUUGGAGGCCGAGUGAGAUCCAUGGCUCAGUAUUGAAUGUGAGGUUCCCGAAUCUGCUUCUCUUCAAGGCCGCUGUGCUCUCCUCGGAGCUGAGUGUGUGGACUGUGCAGCUCAUCGGAUGUGCACACACACACACGGGUGCUCAUGGGCACACUUCCAAGUUGAACAGGCUCUCACCAGGGCACUUGGGCGCAGCCACAAAUGCUUCAGUUCCAAAAUGCAAAGGAUGAAGAAAUCAGAAAAGUCCCCAAUGCCACCGGCCACCUUCAGGGAGAGCCUGGCUGUCCAGACAAGCCGCUGGUCAGGUGCAUAGCAGUGGGAAAUGCUGUGUGUUGAGGGCAUCUUCAUAGGUCCAGCUGGCCGCUCCACAUGGACACCCAACAACCAGACCUUCCGUCAAGCUCAACGGAACCCCCCCAGUGACUCGGAGGAGGCUCGGGCUCCUGUCACACAGACCCUCCGUUGAACUCGAUUGAACCCCUCCAGUGACUCAGAGGAGGCUCAGGCUCCUGUCACACAGAGUCUGGCACUUUCCUGUAAGCAUCAACAUCAGCAGAACACGAUCAUGGCUCAGUCUCUGAGCAGAAUUCUGAUGAUCCUGCAACCCCAACUGGACUCUUCUAAACUAGCAAGCUCUCUGUCCCAGGAGCACUUGGAGAGGCUGCCCUGCUCCACCUCACUUCUGAACGGCCGGCUGGAGCCACGCAGAUGCACACUGGUUUGGACAAAUGCACAUGCACUCCCCAACUCCUCUCACCUCUGGGUCCUCCCCUCCAGCCUUAGGCCCAGGGCUCACUCCUUAGUGCCCCCCACACCUCAUGAGCAGGCCUAGUUCAUUGUCUCCAAGACAUUCUGCAAAGGCCUCACUACCCCCGAAGGUCUAAGGAGUUCCUACUGACUUAGGGUCUACAGGGUUCAAAAUGCUCUGAGCAGACUGAGAAACCAAAGACCAGUUCCAAAUAAGACUUAUCCUGAGGAGCACCAGGAGUGCCCAUCAUCAAUUCACAAAAUCCUAAACCUCCAAAUGGAGGGGACAUGACAUGUCACCUUACCCUCGAUGAACGCCCUCUACACAAAUACCCUAGCCAGUCUUGACUCCUUUUGACAUGACCCUGUUGUGGGAGCUGCAAAGACCAUCAUGGAUCCCACAAACAGGCAUGGCGCUGGGCAAGACGGCCAUGGAUCCCACAGACAGGGAUGGCACCAGGCAGCCCGUGGUGCAAGGCAGGAAAGGGGAGGACAAAGCAGGGCAGGGAUUAGAGAGUGCAGAGGCCCAGCUUUAGGAAGAUGGUUGAAGCCUGCAAAGAGUUAACGGCAUUCCACUGGGUCUGGGAGGAUAAACGUGGUUUGGAUAGAGACACAGGGACAGCAUGAGCGAAGGGCCCAUAAGGGAAGGACCUCGGUAUUUAACAGAAGCAUUGGACAGAGAAGUCUGGUGAAACGGACGGAAGGCUAGAGAGGCAGCUGGGAUUAACUCACGGAGGCCUGGACUGUCCCGGCCAGUGGGUAAGACUGUGCUCUUUAGAUGGGCGCUGGAGGUGAAGUGUCCUGUGUUUAGUGAAAUCCCUCUCUCAAUAGCCCGGAUGGAGGAUAAGAGGAGCCCUGCAGGGAGGACAAUGAACCAGGAAGCAGCCGACAGGGAAUGGAAUGGAGGCAGAGGAUCGACAGGGAAUGGAAUGGAGGCAGAGGAUCGGCAGCCUGGGGGAGGAAUGGCAGGGCCUCCUCCCUGAUCAGCCAGGCCAGGGACAGAGUGGCACAUAAAGGGCACAUGAGCCUGGGUAACAAGAAGAAGGCUGCUGGUGGUCAGAGACACUGGGCUAUCAGGGGAAUUCUAACAGUUGGGAGAAAAUGCCCAGCUCGUCGUGGGGAAGCUUGAGAGGUAACAUUUGAGAGGCCAGGAAGCAUUAGCUCGUGGCAGCUGCACUUUUCUCUGCCUUUGAUCAUCGCCCGUCUGGGCACCUGGCUGACACUGACUAGAAGGAGAAAGGGCCAGGGCCAGGAGGCAUUUGCUCCCCCUCCCAUGGCCAGAGGCAGCCAGCAUCCUAAUGAAUGAGGGUGAGUGAAGGAAGUAUUUGGAAUUUCACAGAGAGGCCCAUUUCCUUCUGCACAUAUGAAGCACCUGCUAGUGCUGUGUACUAGACACUGGAAAGCUGAAUUUCCAGGAGGAGGAGAUGCUCGUAGAAACAAUAAACGAACAACAUGCAGCGGGAGAGCCACAGACAGGACACAUAAGGUCUAGAAGAAGCCUCAGUGUGAACCAAAGGGGAAGGGGAGGGGGAGGAAGAGGAAGGGAAGGGGAAGGAAGCAGCUUAGGGUUAAAGGACAAAAGAGAUCCCAAGCUCCAGGCCCACAGGCCAGGGAGGUCCCAGGAGUGAGG
Molecule: long non-coding RNA, 2676 nt
Filed under: Homo sapiens (human)
Lineage: Eukaryota; Metazoa; Chordata; Mammalia; Primates; Hominidae
Description: HSALNT0116766
Source: RNAcentral